GCCAUAUGAUGAGUCGUAGCUGCAGGAGCUCUUGGGCUGUGAUGACCUGCUAUCUAUCACCCUUUUCUGAUGGCU
RNAcentral lists this small nucleolar RNA (75 nucleotides) under Monopterus albus (swamp eel). RNAcentral's name for it is "Small nucleolar RNA SNORD83 (ENSMALG00000009499.1)". It matches the Rfam family "Small nucleolar RNA SNORD83". From Rfam's summary of the family: U83 (SNORD83) and U84 (SNORD84) are members of the C/D class of snoRNA which contain the C (UGAUGA) and D (CUGA) box motifs. They act as guanine methylation guides but lack complementarity to ribosomal RNA. Lineage: Eukaryota; Metazoa; Chordata; Actinopteri; Synbranchiformes; Synbranchidae. The record is from RNAcentral.